GUAGGCAGCAAGCGUUGUUCGGAGUUACUGGGCGUAAAGAGUACGUAGGCGGUUUGCUAAGUCUGGUGUGAAAUCUCCUGGCUUAACUGGGAGGGUGCGCUAGAUACUGGCAGGCUUGAGUAUGGGAGAGGAGAGUGGAAUUCCUGGUGUAGCGGUGAAAUGCGUAGAUAUCAGGAGGAACGCCGGUGGUGUAGACGGCUCUCUGGACCAUUACUGACGCUGAGGUACGAAAGCGUGGGUAGCAAACAGGAUUAGAUACCCUGGUAGUCCACGCCCUAAACGAUGCGGACUUGGUGUAGGCAGGUUCAGUCUGUCUGUGCCGGAGCUAACGCGUUAAGUCCGCCGCCUGGGGAGUACGGUCGCAAGGCUG
This 370-nucleotide ribosomal RNA is filed under the name uncultured organism. RNAcentral's name for it is "bacterial SSU rRNA". It matches the Rfam family "Bacterial small subunit ribosomal RNA", at positions 527 to 896 of the family's 1533-position model. The record is from RNAcentral.